AGCAGCAGGAAGCUCCAAAACAAGUGACGUGGGAGGCAAAAGCUCCCUGGAGAGCUCUGGAGCUCAGCCACGCUUCCAAAAACGGAGAUCCCAGCAGGAUUCCACCCCGGGAGAACCCCGGGAAUGUCGGGGGGCUGCUGGACAUGGGCUGGGCUUGCUGGGGUCCUGUUCUUAUUACCCCGGUCCUAAACCUCCACAAAAACCAGGAUGAAAUCCAGGACAUUGAUGGAUGAACCUGGAGAUCUCGAUUUGUGGCUGAACAAAGAGGAACAACAACUCAGCUUUCUGGCCUGCAACCACUUUUCUUCUCCAAAUGUUGCCGGAGACUCCUGGAAAAUCCCUCCACGGCUGGGAAGAAGAGCAGGCAACAUUGACACC
Long non-coding RNA from Passer montanus (Eurasian tree sparrow), 378 nucleotides. RefSeq lists it as uncharacterized. The transcript has 3 exons. NCBI's taxonomy places the organism in Eukaryota, Metazoa, Chordata, Aves, Passeriformes, Passeridae. The record is from RefSeq and is a predicted model, not a curated record.